UACGAAGGGGGCUAGCGUUGUUCGGAAUUACUGGGCGUAAAGCGCACGUAGGCGGAUAUUUAAGUCAGGGGUGAAAUCCCGGGGCUCAACCCCGGAACUGCCUUUGAUACUGGGUAUCUAGAGUCCAGAAGAGGUGAGUGGAAUUCCGAGUGUAGAGGUGAAAUUCGUAGAUAUUCGGAGGAACACCAGUGGCGAAGGCGGCUACCUGGCCUGUUCUUGACGCUGAGGCGCGAAAGCUAGGGGAGCAAAACGGGAUUGAGAAACCCCGGUAGGU
RNAcentral lists this ribosomal RNA (274 nucleotides) under uncultured bacterium. RNAcentral's name for it is "partial 16S ribosomal RNA". It matches the Rfam family "Bacterial small subunit ribosomal RNA", at positions 524 to 794 of the family's 1533-position model. The record is from RNAcentral.